This 1490-nucleotide long non-coding RNA is filed under the name Homo sapiens (human). RNAcentral describes it as "PREDICTED lncRNA (TCONS_00108688)". The record is from RNAcentral. Lineage: Eukaryota; Metazoa; Chordata; Mammalia; Primates; Hominidae.
CUUCUCAACCAGUUUACCUCUCUGACCGCUCUUACGGUGUUUGGGGGCAAAAAACUAAGGAUCUAGACUCUCUAAACCGCUCGCUGGGUCCUUCUCUCCCCACAAUGCACCGGGGCCAGCAGGAAGGCCGCUCCGACCCCUAAUUUUCCCGCGAAUUCAGUUCAAAGAGGCGGCCGGGCCCGCGAUCGGCAGCGCGCACCGGCCAACCAAGCCGCGCCUCCGCGAGAAGCGCCUCCGCGUGACUGACGGGGGAAUCCGCGGGCCAACGGGCUGGGCGGCCCGGCGGUGCGCGCUCCCGCCGGCCAAUCAGAGCGCCGGGCGGGGGAAGUGGGCGGAGCGAGGCCUGGGUAGGGUGAGCGGCCUCCGAAGCGGAGCGGGGCUCUGAGGAGACACUUUUUCUUCCUCCCUCCUUCCCUCCUCUCCUCCUGCCUUCCCUUCCCCUUUCCUCCCCUCUCUCCUCCUUCUCCCCUCGGUCAGCCGGAGCCUGCUGGGGCGAGCGGUUGGUAUUGCAGGCGCUUACUCUCCGGGGCCGCCCGGCGAGUAGCUGGCCGGGGAAGGAGGCAGGAACCGCGAUGGCGCCUCAGAAGCACGGCGGUGGGGGAGGGGGCGGCUCGGGGCCCAGCGCGGGGUCCGGGGGAGGCGGCUUCGGGGGUUCGGCGGCGACGGCUUCGAGCGGCAAAUCCGGCGGCGGGGGCUGUGGAGGCGGUGGCAGUUACUCGGCCUCCUCCUCCUCCGCGGCGUUACCGGUGAAGAAGUCGAAAAUGGAGCACGUCCAGGCUGACCACGAGCUUUUCCUCCAGGCCUUUGAGAAGCCAACACAGAUCUAUAGAUUUCUUUGAACUCGGAAUCUCAUAGCACCAAUAUUUUUGCACAGAACUCUUACUUACAUGUCUCAUCGAAACUCCAGAACAAACAUCAAAAGCUUGUCAGCUCAUUUGCAGCUUACAUUUUUGGUUUCUUCCACAAAAAUGAUAAGCCAUCACCAAACUCAGAAAAUGAACAAAAUUCUGUUACCCUGGAAGUCCUGCUUGUGAAAGUUUGCCACAAAAAAAGAAAGGAUGUAUGUUGUCCAAUAAGGCAAGUUCCCACAGAGUGACUCGUCCAAGAAGAAGAGAGUUUAAUGGAAUGAUUAAUGGAGAAACCAUGAAAAUAUUGAUGUCAGUGAAGAGCUUCCAGCCAGAAGAAAAUGAAAUCGUGAGGAUGGGGAAAAGACAUUUGUUGCACAAAUGACAGUAUUUGAUAAAAACAGGCGCUUACAGCUUUUAGAUGGGGAAUAUGAAGUAGCCAUGCAGGAAAUGGAAGAAUGUCCAAUAAGCAAGAAAAGAGCAACAUGGGAGACUAUUCUUGAUGGGAAGCUAUGGACUACUUAGAAGGUUGAGCACAUUAUAGUUAUGAACUCCCAUUUUUGAUUGAUGUUUUCUUCCCCAAAUGCUAAUUCAUGUUGGAAGUAGAGGCCUUUGUUUUUUAUACUUUAAAAAACACAAGUAAAU